RNAcentral lists this ribosomal RNA (601 nucleotides) under Vibrio sp. Its description in RNAcentral is "bacterial SSU rRNA". It matches the Rfam family "Bacterial small subunit ribosomal RNA", at positions 129 to 725 of the family's 1533-position model. The record is from RNAcentral. Lineage: Bacteria; Pseudomonadati; Pseudomonadota; Gammaproteobacteria; Vibrionales; Vibrionaceae.
CCCUGAUGUGGGGGAUAACCAUUGGAAACGAUGGCUAAUACCGCAUAAUACCUACGGGUCAAAGAGGGGGACCUUCGGGCCUCUCGCGUCAGGAUAUGCCUAGGUGGGAUUAGCUAGUUGGUGAGGUAAUGGCUCACCAAGGCGACGAUCCCUAGCUGGUCUGAGAGGAUGAUCAGCCACACUGGAACUGAGACACGGUCCAGACUCCUACGGGAGGCAGCAGUGGGGAAUAUUGCACAAUGGGCGCAAGCCUGAUGCAGCCAUGCCGCGUGUGUGAAGAAGGCCUUCGGGUUGUAAAGCACUUUCAGUCGUGAGGAAGGUAGUGUAGUUAAUAGCUGCAUUAUUUGACGUUAGCGACAGAAGAAGCACCGGCUAACUCCGUGCCAGCAGCCGCGGUAAUACGGAGGGUGCGAGCGUUAAUCGGAAUUACUGGGCGUAAAGCGCAUGCAGGUGGUUUGUUAAGUCAGAUGUGAAAGCCCGGGGCUCAACCUCGGAAUAGCAUUUGAAACUGGCAGACUAGAGUACUGUAGAGGGGGGUAGAAUUUCAGGUGUAGCGGUGAAAUGCGUAGAGAUCUGAAGGAAUACCGGUGGCGAAGGCGGC